This 660-nucleotide unclassified non-coding RNA is filed under the name Hevea brasiliensis (rubber tree). The record is from RNAcentral. Lineage: Eukaryota; Viridiplantae; Streptophyta; Magnoliopsida; Malpighiales; Euphorbiaceae.
CAAUAAAUAAAUAAAUAAAUAAGAAGGAAGCUUAGAAUAUCAUUUCUUUUGUUUUGUUUUCUAACAUUCAGCUCAACUUGAUCAGAUCUCAUAUGAACCAUUUACAGUUUGUUCUACAUGCAUCCUAUCACCCUUAUAAAUAAUAUACAGUUCAAAGGGCAGAAAAUUUUGUUAGUGUCCAAAUAUGAGGAUGGCAUUCACAGUUGAGUUCCAUAUUACUAUGAUACAGAAGUGUUACUGAUGUUUCUGGUGGUGGUGAUAAAAUAUUACUUACUAUGGCCCUGUGCGACUAAUGGCUUCUGGUGGAGAUCACCUGUGAAAUGACACCAUCUUAGUAAUUUUGACUGCUUGACAAACUCCAAUCAUUGUGCUGGUGUGAGAGUUGACCUUUCUAGGGAUUUUAUGUCCUCAUUGUAUCUCCUUUUUUGUUGGGGGGAGAAAAAAGACAGUCAAAUUCCUUUCCGAAUAUUUGUUUCAUUUUUACCUCAUUGGCUUUGGUUUAGUAUUAUUGUUUAGAGCUGCCAGCACAAAUAAAAAUUGUGUUCCCAAGUACAACCAUGCAUGCCAGAGUGAAAAAAGAUGUAAUAUACGUUUCUUUAUAAUGAUUUGGGUAAAUUAAUUUGACUUCGAAUUUCCAAUAGAAUCUGUAUGAAAACAUGG